This 447-nucleotide ribosomal RNA is filed under the name uncultured Thermoplasmata archaeon. RNAcentral describes it as "bacterial SSU rRNA". It matches the Rfam family "Archaeal small subunit ribosomal RNA", at positions 893 to 1338 of the family's 1478-position model. The record is from RNAcentral. Lineage: Archaea; Methanobacteriati; Thermoplasmatota; Thermoplasmata.
GGCUGCGGUUCAAUUGGACUCAACGCCGGAAAACUCACCGGGAGCGACAGCAGUAUGAUUGCCAGUUGAUGACCUUGCUUGACAAGCUGAGAGGAGGUGCAUGGCCGCCGUCAGUUCGUACCGUGAGGCGUUCCUGUUAAGUCAGGCAACGAACGAGACCCUUGCAUCUAGUUGCCAGCAGAUCCCUUCGGGAUGCUGGGUACCCUAGAUGGACCGCCACUGCUAAAGUGGAGGAAGGAGAGGGCGACGGUAGGUCAGUAUGCCCCGAAUCUCCCGGGCUACACGCGGCCUACAAUGGACAGGACAAUGGGCUCCGAUCCCGAAAGGGAAAGGCAAUCCUUUAAACCUGUUCUUAGUUCGGAUUGAGGGCUGUAACUCGCCCUCAUGAAGCUGGAAUCUCUAGUAAUCGCGUGUCAUUAUCGCGCGGUGAAUACGUCCCUGCUCCUU